RNAcentral lists this long non-coding RNA (1357 nucleotides) under Homo sapiens (human). RNAcentral describes it as "HSALNT0348418". Lineage: Eukaryota; Metazoa; Chordata; Mammalia; Primates; Hominidae. The record is from RNAcentral.
CCAUGUUAUCUGUCAUCCUGAAGCAGCUGAAUUGAUAAAAUGAUGGAACGGCCUUUUGAAGUCACAAUUACAAUGCCAACUAGGUAACAAUACUUUGCAGACCUGGGGUAAAGUUCUCCAGAAGACUGUGUAUGCUCUGAAUCAGCAUCCCAUAUAUGGCACUGUUUCUCCCAUAGCCAGGACUCACGGCUCCAGGAUUAAAGGGAUGGAAGUGGAAGUGACACCACUCACCAUCAUCCCCAGUGAUCUACUAGCAAAAUUUUUGCUUCCUGUUUCCAUGACAUUACAUUCUGCUGGCCUAGAGUUCUUAGUUCCAGAAGGAGAAUGCUGCCACCAGGAGACACAACAAUGAUUCUGUUAAGCUGGAAGUUAAGAUUGCCACCUGGAAACUUUGGGCUCCUCUUACCUUUAAGGCAACAGGCUAAGAAAGGAGUUACAGUGUUAUCUGGGGUGAUUGACCAGGACUGUGAAGAUGAAAUCAGUCUACUACUCCACAACGGAGUGAUCAUUCAACACCUGACCUAGAGGAAUUCAGAAUUCAGCGGGGGUACAUUCUCAGCUGGAAAAACUAUGUGCCCUGGAGGACAUUGAGGUAAAGAUGGAGAUGGUCAAGGGGUUACCGCCAGUCUGUUUCUUGCGCUGAUAAUUUUUCUAGACAUUAAAUCUCACCAUUUGUUCCCAACAAAGAAAGAAAGACAGGACCACCAGACUCUACAGGGUGAUCUGACACUAACAACUUAACAACCAUUCUACUGAGUCAACAAAUUUCUCCUCUGUGUACAGACUUCAACCGAAGAAUCUAAUACUACUGUGAAGUGCUGCUGGGCAGGACACACGUUCAGGAGACACAGUAGGGGAACAGAUGAGGCCAGAGUGGCCCACAGCCGGGGUGAAGAGCCCCCAAUUAUUUAUAAAGUGUUUGCUGCCUCAUUUAUGAAAAUAAAUAGUGCAAAGCUGUUACAAGUAUUACAUUUUUACAUCAAAUUAAACAUUUCAAAAUUAGUGUCACAGCUUCUCCUGGGAGCAACUUUUGAGGGGCUUUUUAUCCAAUAACAGCAAAAUGGUUAUUUAGAGAAUAGACCUAGAAUGUUUCUUAAAUGGAAAGCACACCCAGCAAUAAAGUCACCUGUUCCUUACAGCCGACUUGGGUUUGUACUGCCACUCCACCCAUCCCCAAAUGGACAGGGAACUUCGAUCCAUUGAGCCACCACUGUCCUACUGUCCCUCCCUGCCAAGUGUAGAUCACAAGGACUAAAGGCUGCAGCCUCUCUUCUGCAAACACUCUUCACCUUGUUCUCCUCUUAUUUCUUAGCACUGUUCUGGCAAAACCCCAAUCUUGAUCAUAAUCGUCCCUCCC